CCUACGGGUGGCUGCAGUGAGGAAUAUUGGUCAAUGGACGAGAGUCUGAACCAGCCAAGUAGCGUGAAGGAUGACGGCCCUAUGGGAUGUAAACAUCUUUUGUAUGGGAAUAAAACAGGGUAUGCAUACCCUCUUGUAUGUAACAUAUGAAUAAGGAUCGGCUAACUCAGUGCCAGCAGCCGCGGUAAUACGGAGGAGCCGAGGGUUAUCCGGUUUUAUUGGGUUUAAAGGGAGCGUAGGUGGAUUGUUAAGUCAGUUGUGAAGGUUUGCGGCGCAACCGUAAAAUUGCAGUUGAAACUGGCAGUCUUGAGUACAGUAUAGGUGGGCGGAAUUCGUGGUGUAGCGGUGAAAUGCUUAGAUAUCAC
Molecule: ribosomal RNA, 365 nt
Filed under: uncultured bacterium
Lineage: Bacteria
Description: partial 16S ribosomal RNA
Rfam family: Bacterial small subunit ribosomal RNA
Source: RNAcentral